RNAcentral lists this ribosomal RNA (146 nucleotides) under uncultured Leptotrichia sp. Its description in RNAcentral is "partial 16S ribosomal RNA". It matches the Rfam family "Bacterial small subunit ribosomal RNA", at positions 361 to 527 of the family's 1533-position model. Lineage: Bacteria; Fusobacteriati; Fusobacteriota; Fusobacteriia; Fusobacteriales; Leptotrichiaceae. The record is from RNAcentral.
ANUGNNNAUGGNAGAACCCUGANCGCAAUUCUGCGUGUGUGAAGAAGGCUUUAGGACUGUAAAACUCUUUUAGUAGGGAAGAAAAAAAUGACGGUACCUACACAAGAAGCAACGGCUAAAUACUUGCCAGCGGCCGCGGUAAUACA